Molecule: ribosomal RNA, 549 nt
Filed under: uncultured Glomeromycotina
Lineage: Eukaryota; Fungi; Glomeromycota
Description: SSU rRNA
Rfam family: Eukaryotic small subunit ribosomal RNA
Source: RNAcentral
UUGGAGGGCAAGUCUGGUGCCAGCAGCCGCGGUAAUUCCAGCUCCAAUAGCGUAUAUUAAAGUUGUUGCAGUUAAAAAGCUCGUAGUUGAAUUUCGGGAUCAAUUUAUUGGUCGUGCCAACGGUACGCACUGGUACAAUUGGUUUCUCCCUCCUGACGAAGCAUGAUGUCAUUAAUUUGAUGUCGUGGGGAAUCAGGACUGUUACUUUGAAAAAAUUAGAGUGUUUAAAGCAGGCUUUGGCUUGAAUACAUUAGCAUGGAAUAAUGAAAUAGGACGUUUGAUCUUAUUUCGUUGGUUUCUAAGAUCGACGUAAUGAUUAAUAGGGAUAGUUGGGGGCAUUAGUAUUCAAUUGUCAGAGGUGAAAUUCUUGGAUUUAUUGAAGACUAACUACUGCGAAAGCAUUUGCCAAGGAUGUUUUCAUUAAUCAAGAACGAAAGUUAGGGGAUCGAAGACGAUCAGAUACCGUCGUAGUCUUAACCAUAAACUAUGCCGACUAGGGAUCGGAUGAUGUUAAUUUUUUAAUGACUCAUUCGGCGCCUUACGGGAAAC